Molecule: RNA transcript, 6899 nt
Organism: Passer domesticus (house sparrow)
Lineage: Eukaryota; Metazoa; Chordata; Aves; Passeriformes; Passeridae
Gene: MSI2
Gene name: musashi RNA binding protein 2
Exons: 15
Source: RefSeq, a predicted model, not a curated record
AGGGAGCGCCGGCGCGGCGCUGAGCUAAGCCGAUCCCACGUGUGACGGAUCUGGCUGCUGCCCCAGCGCCUCUCCAGUGAGAUCCUCCGGUAGCGGAGGGAGGAGGAGGAGGAGGAGGAGGGGGGAAGGGAAAAAGGGGCAAAGCAAGCGGAGCGAACCGAGCCGGAGCCGGGCCGGGGGGGGCGGGUUGGGCGGGCGGGGGGGGUUCUCUAAGGGGCUCUCGCUCGGCGCGGCCAUGGAGGCGGACGGGAGCCAGGCUACCUCGGGGAGCCCCGGAGAGGCGCAGCACGACCCCGGCAAGAUGUUCAUCGGCGGCCUCAGCUGGCAAACCUCACCAGACAGCCUUAGAGACUAUUUUAGCAAAUUCGGAGAAAUUAGGGAGUGUAUGGUCAUGCGGGACCCCACCACCAAGCGCUCCAGAGGCUUCGGGUUCGUUACGUUCGCGGAUCCGGCGAGUGUAGACAAAGUCCUGGCUCAGCCGCACCACGAGCUGGACUCCAAGACGAUUGACCCUAAAGUUGCGUUUCCCCGACGAGCACAGCCCAAGAUGGUCACAAGAACAAAGAAAAUAUUUGUAGGUGGAUUAUCGGCUAAUACAGUAGUGGAAGAUGUGAAGCAAUACUUUGAACAGUUUGGCAAGGUAGAGGAUGCCAUGCUAAUGUUUGACAAGACGACCAACAGGCAUAGAGGAUUUGGCUUCGUAACUUUUGAAAAUGAAGACGUGGUGGAGAAAGUCUGUGAAAUUCAUUUCCACGAAAUCAAUAAUAAAAUGGUAGAAUGUAAGAAAGCACAACCUAAAGAAGUGAUGUUUCCACCAGGGACGAGAGGAAGGGCACGUGGCUUGCCGUACACCAUGGACGCCUUCAUGCUGGGGAUGGGAAUGUUGGGUUACCCGAAUUUUGUUGCAACAUAUGGCCGAGGAUAUCCUGGAUUUGCCCCAAGUUACAGUUAUCAGUUCCCAGGUUUUCCAGCAGCGGCUUACGGACCAGUAGCAGCGGCAGCCGUGGCGGCAGCAAGAGGAUCAGGUAGGGGGGCCCGUGGAAGAGCAAACCCUCAGAGUGCAGGGUCAGAGGGUGUCUCUGAGGCAAACUUUCCGGCCUCUCUUACACUCGGACGUGCACACCUCCUCUCAAACACUCUUCUGAGCGCUCUCAGCGGGAAGUCUUGAAUAGCUACAGUGCUCAACCGAAUUUUGGCGCACCCGCUUCCCCGGCAGGCUCCAACCCAGCGCGGCCCGGAGGCUUCCCCGGGGCCAACAGCCCCGGGCCCGUGGCGGAUCUCUACGGCACGGCCAGCCAGGACUCCGCCGUGGGCAACUACAUAAGUGCUGCCAGCCCGCAGCCGGGCUCGGGCUUCGGCCACGGCAUCGCCGGACCUUUGAUUGCAACGGCUUUUACAAAUGGAUACCAUUGAAACGUUACACAUGGUUGGUUGCCAUCUCACUUGGAGAGUCUCUCUGGAUGUCCAGGCAAGACAGGGCGAAGUUUCUGAAGGGGCCCACGGUUGGGUGAUCUCAUCAGACUUUGAGCACUACAUCAUCAUCACCAUCAUCAUCAUCAUCAUCACCGCCAACGCAAACUGGAGGUGGCACUCGAAGGACUUGGGUUGUUUAAAAUCUCUCUCAUCAUCUCAUGAAUCUGCUGUACUAUAAAAACAACAGCUUUUAAAAGUAUGUAUAUAAAACCCAUUUCUUGUUCGUUUUAUUUUCUCGAUGGGUUCCCCCCCCUCUUUUUAAGCCUCUCCAAACCCACAUCUUUUCGUAGCCUUUCUGACAUAGUCUCGUAGCCACGUAGUCGCGAUUCGUUGUGUAUGUAGCGAGAGCCUAACCAUAGUGGAACUGUUAUAUUAAGGGGUUUCUUUUGCUUUUUCUUUCCCACCUCCCCUCCUCCUCCUCCUCCUCCUCCCUUCUGUUUUACGUAGUUGUUGUUGCUUAAAGGAUGCUGAGAUGGUGGCAGGAGCCUCGGCCGCGGGGGAGCGGAGCCGGCGGCGGGCGCGGCGCGGGGGGCUGGCAGGGCACGGGGAGGGGGAGCAACAGGUUCUCUGGCCCUUCUUUUCCUUUGUGGCGUCUUGGUUACUCUGAUUCUCUCUAUUUUCGGCAAUAAGGCGAGGGCGACAAACUUUUUGCGCGUCCUUUUUCUAUAUAAGUGCUUUUUUUUGUUGAAAGAGGUGAUAUAAGGUUUUUUGAAAUUGUGAAUUCUGAAAAAAAAAAAAAGAAAAAAAUAAUAAAGUGCUGUAAAUACAAUUCCAUUAACUACAUAGAAACUAUUAAGAAAGAGAAAUACAAACCUAUUUUUGUGACGGAGUCAGCCUAAGGCAGUUUCUCUCUGGAAAUGGAUGGACAGGACAGGAGGUUGCAGCUUUGGGAGCAGCUGCCCGGGGCUGUGCUGCGGUGGGACCCUCCCAGCCCGCCCAGUUCCCACCAGCAGCUUCGCUCUCACACUGCUCAGCUUGCAAAGGAACAGUCUGGUGGUCUUUUUAUUUUAAUUUAAAACCUGCUUUUCCCAAAACUGAUCAAGAAGCUACGAUUUUUCCUACUUAGCGCAUUUACGGUUCAAAGCACACUUUGUUUUGGUUUUGGUUUUUUUUUUUUUUUUUUUUAGUCAUUGUUUUAAACUAGAUCAACUUGCUGUCCAGUCAUUUCAGCUGCUCUGGGCACCCCACGAGGGCAGAGCAGCGUCCAGCUUGCAUGGUUUCCUUUAUUAUCCAUCACUUUCUGUAUUGUCAAAUUAGAAAGCAACUUUGGUUGGUUUUGAUUUCUUUUUUUUUUUAAUUUCUUUUUUUUUUGGUUUUUUUUUUGGGAAUACCUCAGUGCUACAAGUUUCACCCUAGAAGCAACGGAAGAUUUUAAUUUAUUGUAGUUGUAAACAGAAUUUAAAAGAAAUAAAGUAUAAAACAUCAUUGCACUGUGACUGGUAGGGGAAAAACUGACAGUUUCCUAUUUGCACAUGUUUAAUAUUUGGCUGUUAUAUAUAUGGUCCUCUGUUGGGGGAGGAAACUUAUGAAGGAUAUUUUUUAAUUUAAUUUUUUUAAUAUUGGUAAAUAGGCCUGCAACAGCAAACUAGAAGUACAACAUGGUAGGUGGCAUUAAGAACAUACUGUAGUGUGGAUAUAUUUCUUCUUUUUUUAACGUAAUAUUGACAAGUUUUAUUAAUAUUUUUUUAAAUUGUUACGUUUAUAAAUUUGGUACUUUAGGUACAGCCAGUAUAAGACACUGAAUGCGACAUUUGUUAAAAAGAGCUGCUGCACUCCUAUUUUUGUAAAUUUUACUAACAAGUAGACUAAUGUAGACAUUCAAUAGACAAGGUAGAGCAAGGCAUCUUUAACAAAACAAGGCACCAUACUGCUAACCGAAAGGAGAAACCUUGUUUUUCUUGUUUUUAAAAAAAAAAUCAUGCUUUUUAUGUAAUAUUUUAGGUUUUUUUCUUAUUUCAGAACAACCAGGUUUAAGCAAAAUGCUGGACGCUUUUUAAAUAUUGAGACUUGAUCAAGUAAUAAAAGAAAUAAAACCGAAUUCUUUAAAAAAUAAAAAGGUAAAAAAAAAAAUACUACGAACCAAAUUCCCUGCGAUUCAGUGUGCCGUCAGGGAAUUUUUUAUUGCUAUUUUGUCAAUGUUGAUGAUGUACUGUACUACCAGUUGGUUUUCCUCUCCAUUCCCUGUCACCUCAUAGAAUAUUCUUUGUUGAUCAUUGUUGUAUGUUAAUAGUGUAUAAAAUGGCUUAUCUUGUAAGAGUGCUGUCCUGAUGGUAGUGUAGUGAAUUUUUCCCCCCCUCUUUCUCUCUUCCUCUUCUAGUACAUAUUGGUAGGUGUAUCGUAAUUAAGGUUAAAAAUUUAGAUGUAGUUAUUCAGAUUUAGGACCAGUAAGGAUAGAACUUUCUCUUAUUUAAGAAAAAAAAAAUGCUAAUAAUUUUGGGAAGGUUUUCCUUUCUUGUUUUUUUCUUCUCUUUUUUCUUUCUGUGCUUUUUUUUCCUCUUGUUUAUUAUUUUUCUUCUGUUGAUCUGAUGCGGUUUCAACUAACCAAAGGUCUCACAAUGUUAAAAAUGCUGGCAAACUCUUAAGGCAUUUGUAGAUCCCCACCCAUGACUUUGGAAAGGGGAUGUGCCAUACUACCUUAAAUGCUAAUGCUAGAUAUGCAAAACUGGAUUUUUUUAAUUUAUUUUUUAAAAGAGGGAGGCACGGUAUAUUAAAACGAUUUUACUAAGAGAAAAAAAAAAAACAUAUUUUUUUAAGAAUGCUCAGAAGAAAUUGCUAAUCUGUGUGAAUAUGUUUUAGAUGUUUAUAUACCUUUUGAGAAGUCCCAGUGGCCCAUAGCACAAAUGUCGUGGAAUCCAAGAUGUUUUGAUGUGGCUACCUAGACUAAGGUUCACGUUAGUCCCCCACUCAUCUAGAAAUCAAUUUUGAAGGAUUUCUUUUUUUUCCUUUUUCUUCGUUUGGGGGUUUUUUGUAAAUUUUUCAGCACAAAGGUUCAGCUCCACCUUUGCUUUACUCAAGCCCAGGAGGGAGCGAGGGAUGGUGGAACCAUUGGGAGGGACCCUGGAGCUCACCCAGUGCCACCCUGGCGUGGCAGGGCCACCUCCCAGGGUCCAGCCUGGCCUGGGAGGGAGCCAGGGAUGGUGGAACCUUUGGGAGGGACCCUGGAGCUCACCCAGUGCCACCCUGGCGUGGCAGGGCCACCUCCCGCUGUCCCGGGGUCCAGCCUGGCUGGGAGCCUGCAGGGACAGAGCCCGGGGCUCUCAGGACAGUGCCCUGCCAGGACAGUGCCCAGCUGGGGUGACCAACAGGAGCCUUCUCCUCCAGGCUGGGUGACCUGGGCCCCCACAGGGACGCGUCCCAAACUCCAGGGACAAUCCCCAGGAGCCACCAGGGCUCGGGACCCUCCCCCUCCAAACGGCCCUUCGGGAUCGGCUUGAUUAAACUGAAGCCUGAUCUGUCCUUUGGGGUUUUUAUUUUUUCUUACACUUCAUAAAUGUUCAUUUUGAGUUGAAUUUGUAGCUUGGACUUUAAGGUAGCAUGGCUCUCUUUGCUGUAAGUUGAUUUUUUUUUUUUUCCAUUGUACAGCAGCGUCUGCUGGUGAAUGUCACACAUCUUGCUAGGCUUAGUUAAAUCAUUGGGUAAUUGUGGGUGAUAACGACCUGAAAGGUGUUGGGAUUUCUUUUCUUCCCUGCUUUCAUCUGUAGUGUGAAUGAGGGCUAGCGACUCCAGCCACACGUCCCUUCCUGUUUCGUUUCCGCCAUUCACUCAAUGCAACAUAAUCGAUAAUAAAGCAAUAUAGUUUACUACAUUUUUACUGAAGGCCAGCCAUGGUUCUGUAUGAUAUUGCAUAUGAAACUGUUUACAAAAACAAAAAAAAAAAACCUAAAAAAAAAAACUAAAAAAAACACUAACUCAUAGCUGUCUUUUAUGCUAUGGCGAUGUCUCUUGGGUGGAAUCUUCUGAAUUCUUUUUUUUAGUGGUUUGGUUUGUUUUUUUCAAAGCGACAUAGCUGAGAGAGAGGGAGGAGUGAGGUUAGUGUUGGCAGGAUGCCUGCAGGCACAGGGGCAGCCGCUCUGCUCUGCACACAGACACUGUAGAGAUUCCUCCGCACACACUGCAGCCGGCCCAGCACGACGUGAGGAGUCUGUCAGCUAAGCAAUACUUUAAUACUGUAAUGAAGUUACCAAAAAGAACCACAAUAAUAAUAAAUAAUAAUAAUAAAUAAUAAUAAUUUUUAAAAAGAUAAAAAAAAAACAAACUGUAGUUUGAGAAAGCAAAUCCUCGUGGUGGGUUGUGGGCCCCCUCCCACCCCAGCAGUCCGACCGUGUUGUGUGGAGAGCUCGGUGUCCGAGCAGGGCCCGGUGGCCAGAGGGGUCACCCUGGCUCAGGGGGUCACCCUGGUCUAGAGGGGUCACCCUGGUCAAGUGGGGUCACCCUGGCACAGAGGGGUCACCCUGGCUCAGGGGGUCACCCUGGCACAGAGGGGUCACUCUGGUCCAGAGGGAUCACCCUUGUCCAGAGGGGUCACUCUGGCUCAGGGGGGGUCACCCUGGCCCAGUGGGGUCACCCUUGUCCAGAGGGGUCACCCUGGUCAAGUGGGGUCACCCUGGUCAAGUGGGGUCACCCUGGCUCAGCAGGGUCACUCUUGCUCAGGGGGGUCACUCUGGCUCAUGGGGGUCACCCUGGCUCAGGAGGGGGUCACCCUGGUCCAGAGGGGUCACUCUGGCACAGAGGGGUCACCCCAGCCCAGAGGGGUCACCAUGGUCCAGUGGGGCCACCCCAGCUCAGCAGAGUCACCCCGGACCAGAGGGGUCACUCUGGAUCAGGGGGAUCACCCUGGUCCAGAGGGGUCCCCCAGCUCAGCAGGGUCCCCCCAUCAGGGUCCCCUGGCCCCGCGGGGUCCCCCCAGCAGGGUCACCCUGGCUUAGGGGGGUCCCCCCAGCCCCGCAGGGUCCCCCAUUCCCAGCCCUGGCCCGGGCUCGUCUGUCGGUGCCCGCCGUAGGUAGCACCCCCGUCAUUCUCUGUCGUACGAGGUCUGAACUCCCAUCAGUACUAGGAUGCACGUGAGCAUUUCAGGUGGUCAUAAAUGUACCUAAAUAAACUAUGGCACAGUGGCAGGCCUAGCCCUUCCUUUUAUACUUUAGUAUGAACUGAUGAGAACUUUGGUAGUGACUUUUUUUUUAUAUAUAUACAUAUAUAUAUGUAUCUAUAUAUAUCAAGCAUCUUUCAGGUCUCUGUGUAUGGCUUUCUGAAGCCCUGUUGUAAAAUACUAUGUGGAUGGGGGUCUCUCACAUCACAGAUGUGGAAAGUAUAAUUUUAUAUUUGUAUUUUCAAAUAAAUAAGUUUGUGAAAGGUUUCCAUCCUCUACUGUGGUCCAGAAAUCAAUGUGUUUGUCUGACGAAAAAAUACAAUAAACUGUUUUGAACAGA